GGUCCCGUGGUGUAGUGGUUACACGUCCUCUGUUUGUGCAGCUGUCUUAGAAGAUGUAUGAGGAAAUUCCCUGUUCGACUCAGGGCAGAGCCA
This is a non-coding RNA of Mycena rosella, 93 nucleotides long. The record is from the annotation of a GenBank genome assembly. Lineage: Eukaryota; Fungi; Basidiomycota; Agaricomycetes; Agaricales; Mycenaceae.